AUUGAACGCUGGCGGCAGGCCUAACACAUGCAAGUCGAACGAGUGGCGGACGGGUGAGUAAUGUCUGGAAAACUGCCCGAUGGAGGGGGAUAACUACUGGAAACGGUAGCUAAUCCCGCAUCCCGUCGGAUGUGCGCCGAGGGGAUUAGCUAGUAGGUGGGGUAACGGCUCACCUAGGCGACGAUCCCUAGCUGGUCUGAGAGGAUGACCAGGCACACGGGAACUGAGACACGGUGCAGACUCCUACGGGAGGCAGCAGGGGGGAAUAUGGCACAAUGGGCGCAAGCCUGAUGCAGUCAUGCCGCGUGGAUGAAGAAGGCCUUCGGGUUGUAAAGUACUUUCAGCGGGGAGGCGUUACCUGGAGAAGAAGCACCGGCUAACUCCGUGCCAGCAGCCGCGGUAAUUC
Molecule: ribosomal RNA, 406 nt
Filed under: uncultured bacterium
Lineage: Bacteria
Description: partial 16S ribosomal RNA
Rfam family: Bacterial small subunit ribosomal RNA
Source: RNAcentral